This 202-nucleotide unclassified non-coding RNA is filed under the name Hevea brasiliensis (rubber tree). Lineage: Eukaryota; Viridiplantae; Streptophyta; Magnoliopsida; Malpighiales; Euphorbiaceae. The record is from RNAcentral.
GGUGAGUUCUUUGUUGUUGUUGUUUUGCUUUUGCUAUCUUCCAAGGGUAAGCACGAUCUGUCGGGUUCAAGCCUUCAAGGAGUUGGGCGCAUGGUAAUUAUCGAGCUGAAUGUGUUGAUCUGAUUGAAGUCGUUUGGUUUGUGGUUUGCAGGGCUUUAAGAAGUUUCUUCGGGGGGAAAUGGCUCGUACGAAGCAAACUGCU